This 440-nucleotide ribosomal RNA is filed under the name uncultured bacterium. RNAcentral describes it as "partial 16S ribosomal RNA". It matches the Rfam family "Bacterial small subunit ribosomal RNA", at positions 338 to 795 of the family's 1533-position model. The record is from RNAcentral.
CCUACGGGCGGCAGCAGUGGGGGAUAUUGCACAAUGGGGGGAACCCUGAUGCAGCGACGCCGCGUGGGUGAAGGAGCGUUUCGGCGCGUAAAGCCCUAUCGGCAGGGAAGAAGAUGACGGUACCUGGCCAAGAAGCCCCGGCUAAUUCCGUGCCAGCAGCCGCGGUAAGACGUAGGGGGCAAGCGUUAUCCGGUUGUACUGGGUGUAAAGGGGGCGCAGACGGCAAUGCAAGCCAGGAGUGAAAGCCCGGGGCCCAACCCCGGGACUGCUCUUGGAAAUGGAUGGCUGGAGUACAGGAGGGGGAGGCGGAAUUCCAGGUGUAGCGGUGAAAUGCGUAGAGAUUAGGAGGAACACCGGUGGCGAAGGCGGCCUGCUGGACUGUGACUGACGUUGAGGUGCGAAGGCGUGGGGAGCAAACAGGAUUAGAUACCCGAGUAGUC